AUUGAACGCUGGCGGCAGGCCUAACACAUGCAAGUCGAACGAGUGGCGGACGGGUGAGUAAUGUCUGGAAACUGCCCGAUGGAGGGGGAUAACUACUGGAAACGGUAGCUAAUACCGCAUACCCUCGGAUGUGCCCAGAUGGGAUUAGCUAGUGGGUGGGGUAACGGCUCACCGAGGCGACGAUACCUAGCUGGUCUGAGAGGAUGACCAGACACACUGGAACUGAGACACGUUCCAGACUCCUACGGGAGGCAGCAGUGGGGAAUAUUGCACAAUGGGCGCAAGCCUGAUGCAGCCAUGCCGCGUGUAUGAAGAAGGCCUUCGGGUUGUAAAGUACUUUCAGCGGGGAGGCGUUACCCGCAGAAGAAGCACCGGCUAACUCCGUGCCAGCCGCCGCGGUAAUUC
Molecule: ribosomal RNA, 405 nt
Filed under: uncultured bacterium
Lineage: Bacteria
Description: partial 16S ribosomal RNA
Rfam family: Bacterial small subunit ribosomal RNA
Source: RNAcentral